This 253-nucleotide ribosomal RNA is filed under the name uncultured Oscillospiraceae bacterium. RNAcentral describes it as "partial 16S ribosomal RNA". It matches the Rfam family "Bacterial small subunit ribosomal RNA", at positions 524 to 776 of the family's 1533-position model. Lineage: Bacteria; Bacillati; Bacillota; Clostridia; Eubacteriales; Oscillospiraceae. The record is from RNAcentral.
UACGGAGGAUGCGAGCGUUAUCCGGAUUUAUUGGGUUUAAAGGGCGAGUAGGCGGGCUGGCAAGUUGGGAGUGAAAUCCCGGGGCUUAACCCCGGAACUGCUUUCAAAACUGCUGGUCUUGAGUGAUGGAGAGGCAGGCGGAAUUCCGUGUGUAGCGGUGAAAUGCGUAGAUAUACGGAGGAACACCAGUGGCGAAGGCGGCCGCCUGGCCUGUUACUGACGCUGAGGCACGAAAGCGUGGGGAGCAAAUAGG